UUGGCUGCCAAAGCAGAAACAGCAGAAAACAAAACUCAUGUCAAGGAAAUGCCAUAGACACCCUCAAAGUAGAGACCACCCCACACACAAAUCAAACCCUCAGAGCAUUCCCAUCAUCACUCACCAUCCUUCACCUCACUAGACAUCACCCUGCAUAGAAUCACAGAAUUGUAGGACUGGAAAGAACCUCAAGAGGUCAUCUAAUUCAGUCCCCUGCACUCAUGGCAGGACUAAGGGCUUGGCUACACUGGAGAGUUGCAGCACUGUAAACCCACCACCAGCGCUGCAACUUACUCACUGUCCACACUUGCAAGGCACAUACAGCGCUGCAUCUCCCUGGCUGCAGCGCUGGCCGUACUCCUGCUCUGCCUCAGGUAUAACGAUUGCAGCGCUGCUCCACAGGUGUGGCCACCAAAAGCGCUGUAAUUGGCCUCCAGGGUAUUAGGAGGUAUCCCAGAAUACCUGUUCAGCCACUCUGCUCAUCAGUUCGCACUCUACUGCCUUGGCCUCAGGUGAUCUGGCCUUUAAAUGCCCCAGGAAUUUUAAAAAUCCCCUUCCUGUUUGCUCAGCCAGGUGUGGAGUGCAAUCAAUCAGUGACCAUGCCUCCACGCACCAAAUGAGCCCCAGCAUGGAGCAAUGGCGAGUUGCUGGACCUCAUCAGUGUUUGGGGGGAGGAAGCUGUGCAGCCACAGCUGCGCUCCAGCCAUAGGAAUUACGAUACCUAUGGGCAGAUCUCAAGGGCCAUGCUGGAAAGGGACCAUGACCGGGACGCGGUGCAGUGCAGGGUUAAAGUAAAGGAGCUGCGCAGUGCCUAUUGCAGAGCCCGCAAGGGAAACUGCCGCUCAGGUGCUGCCCCCACGACCUGCCGUUUUUACAAGGAGCUGGACACGGUACUUGGGGGUGACCCCACUGCCAAUCCAACAACCUCAAUGGACAGUUCAGAGCGGGGAGAGGAGGGGGGGAGGGGGAGAAACCGAGAGUGAGGGUACUGGGCUGGGGGGAGUCACCCUGGAAUCCCAGGAGGCAUGCAGCCAGGAGCUCUUCUCAAGCCAGGUGGAAGGUAGCCAGUCGCAGCAGCUGGAACUUGUUGGUGAAGAAGAAGCAGAGAAGCGGGUUCCCGUGUCCUUGACUACUACUACUUCUCAACUGGCCGUAUCAGAGACUGCCGAAAGGCUACAGAACCUGAGGAAAAAGCCAUGAAAAAGCAAAAGAUAUGGUGAAAGCAGUUAUGAAUCAGUCUGCCAGAGAGAGUAAGAAGCUGCAGGACUGGAGAGAAAAAAUGCAGCACUGGAGGGAAAGAGAAAGCAGAAGAAAG
Molecule: long non-coding RNA, 1315 nt
Organism: Gopherus flavomarginatus (Mexican gopher tortoise)
Lineage: Eukaryota; Metazoa; Chordata; Testudines; Testudinidae
Exons: 2
Source: RefSeq, a predicted model, not a curated record